CAAAACUCAACCCUUGCUUCUUGACGUAUUGAGUUUCGAGACAACCUGAGAAGAACGAGAUUAGGGUUUGCUGUUCUUUGGAGAUUAAGUGAGGUUGAUGAUAGAAUCGAUUGAUUAAUGAUGGGUUUUGUUUAUUUAAGACAAGGGAGAAGAAUUAUCUGUUGAUUCAAGAAGUUUAGUGAAGAACUGAAGAGCUUGGGUUUCUCUGAGUUUGAUUAAAGAUGAAUUAGAAGAUGAAAUUGACGUAAAGGUGAUUGAACUAGUGAUGGGUUUGUUCUUAUUUGAAGUAUGAUUGGAUGUUUAGGGCUGUUAUGGUGGGAAUCGAGAAAUUAUGAUUCAUGUGUUCUUCCCCAAAUUGAAGUUAGGGUAUGAGUGAAAUUGAUCUGGUAGAUUGGCGAUUCAGAAGAUGUUAAAGCUUGGGUAAGUCUUUAAUUGUUCUAAUUUCGUUAUUUUGGAUUGAGUUGAUUAAAGUAUUUAGUUGAUGUGAUUGAGAAUAUAACCUGGAUUGAGAUAAGUGUAGAAUGGAAUUGUAAUUUUGGUCUAGAGUUAUAGUUGUGGUGUAUCUGAAGUUACAGGUGUGGAAUUAAGGAAGUUGAUGUUGAUGUUGUGGAUACUGUGGUAUUUUUGAAUGCAUGGAAAAUAUUGAAGGUACUAUUGAAACUAAGAUUGAACAGUUAUCUGAGUAUGAUUUUGAGAAUGGUGGUGGAUGUGAGAAUCUCAGAUAGAACUGGAGUUAGCUGUGAUCUUGAUGUUGAGAGUGGAGUGAGUAUGUAAUAAAGAGUUAGAUGAAUGUUAAAAUCUGUGUUUGAGACAGAGAUGAUGAUUCUGGUUUCACAAGUAGAGAUGAAAUUAUGGGUGUGAUCUGAUAGUCGAACUUCGUAAUACAAAAGAUGGUUGUUGAGUGUUGAUUGAACUAAUGGGUAUUGUCAACCUAGUAAUGAAAUGCAGUUAAUGAUGAGGUAGGUUGUAAUGUUGGAGAUGUUGGAGUUUGCUGUUGAAAUGAGUUGCAGAUAAAGUGAAAUGAUGAUGUUGUUGGCGUGGUCUGUGUAGUUGGAUUUGAAGGUGGUGAGGUAUUAUGGUCUGCAGUGGAUGUAAUCGUGAUCUCCAGAUGGUUUGUGGAUUGUAACUGAUGUUCAGAUUGCAAGUGUAUAAUGGUGCAGGUGAAAUGAGAUAGUGUUGUAAUUGUGAAGAAGGUAUUGUGUAAGUAUAUUUGGUGUUGCAUGUGUUAGUAAUUGAGGGAGAUGUAUUGGGUUGUAGUAAACUGAAUAAUGGAAUCCGGUUGCAGUGUAAGUCUGAGAAGGAAGUGACAAUGAAAUAGAGAGUGAAGAUGUAGCUGUGUAUGUAGGAAGAGUAUGGCUUAGUACUGCAAUUGCAGGUGCAAUGGAGUCAUUAUGAGCAAAAGAAGAAGAAAACGCUCAUUUGGAGCGAAAAUGACAAAAACGGCAUUUCAAUGGCUAAUGCUGCGCGGAGUCAACCUAUGGAAUUAGGGGCAAAUAAUUUUGGUGUCCUAUAUCAAUUCAUCGGGUGCCUAGAAUCAUUCUGGUUGACCCGUUAUCUGCCUCACCUGGGUGGUGGCAUCCAUUCUACUACACAAGCCCUAGAAUUCAGAAGAGAGUUAUUUCUCAAUCAUUUGGUUUCUAACUCAGAAGAGUGUGCGGCUGAGUUCAGGGUCUCUGCGUGUUUGAAAUUAAGAGAAGGAAUCAGAGAAUCGUUAAUGAAAUUCGAGGGAUUUUGAUGGGUUCAAUUCUGGUGAUGUUGGUGAGACAUCGAGAAGCGGAAAUCGAAAGUUAGGGUUCAUUUAAUGUGAAUCGAGAAGACCCUGUUGUUGUUGAAGAACGAGAUUCAGAGCUCGAUUCAGUUUAGGGUUUUGGAACUGGUGAAUUUGAGAAGAACUGGUGAAGAUUAUCGUUACAAUUAUGGUGAAGAUGAAGCUGUUGUCAUCUGGUUAUUGAUUUGAAACUGAAAUGGAAGUUAGGGUUUCGAUCUGUGAAGAGUUAGGUGUUGAUGAAUGAAGGGUUCAACUCGAAUUUGAGUUUGGAAUCAUGGGUUUGUGUUGGAUUCGAAGAGUAC
Long non-coding RNA from Papaver somniferum (opium poppy), 2070 nucleotides. RefSeq lists it as uncharacterized. Lineage: Eukaryota; Viridiplantae; Streptophyta; Magnoliopsida; Ranunculales; Papaveraceae. The record is from RefSeq and is a predicted model, not a curated record. The transcript is spliced from 2 exons.